UACGGAGGAUCCAAGCGUUAUCCGGAUUUAUUGGGUUUAAAGGGUGCGUAGGCGGCUUUUUAAGUCAGGGGUGAAAGACGGUGAGCUCAACCUAUCGCAGUGCCUUUGAUACUGAUGAGCUUGAAUGAACUAGAGGUAGGCGGAAUGUGACAAGUAGCGGUGAAAUGCAUAGAUAUGUCACAGAACACCGAUUGCGAAGGCAGCUUACUAUGGUUUUAUUGACGCUGAGGCACGAAAGCGUGGGGAUCAAACAGG
RNAcentral lists this ribosomal RNA (255 nucleotides) under uncultured bacterium. Its description in RNAcentral is "partial 16S ribosomal RNA". It matches the Rfam family "Bacterial small subunit ribosomal RNA", at positions 524 to 776 of the family's 1533-position model. The record is from RNAcentral.